Molecule: non-coding RNA, 170 nt
Organism: Roseburia sp. CAG:18
Lineage: Bacteria; Bacillati; Bacillota; Clostridia; Lachnospirales; Lachnospiraceae
Source: Rfam
GUACCAGUAAUGGUAUGGAUGAAGGAAGUGGUGUAACAAAGUUCUUGAGCCUACGUACAGAAACUUGAUAAGGCGAUUAGGUGGGUAAGGUUGCUAGACAAACCAAAGCCCAAAAGGUAAACGUAAACCGAAGUUGUAAAUCAAGAGGUUGUGGAACGAAAGAUUAGCGU